RNAcentral lists this ribosomal RNA (513 nucleotides) under uncultured bacterium. Its description in RNAcentral is "partial 16S ribosomal RNA". It matches the Rfam family "Bacterial small subunit ribosomal RNA", at positions 28 to 507 of the family's 1533-position model. The record is from RNAcentral.
GACGAACGCUGGCGGCGUGCUUAACACAUGCAAGUCGAACGAAAAGAGGGAAAGAGCUUGCUCUUUCCGGAAUUGAGUGGCAAACGGGUGAGUAACACGUAAACAACCUGCCUUCAGGAUGGGGACAACAGACGGAAACGACUGCUAAUACCGAAUAAGUUCCAAGAGCCGCAUGGCCCAUGGAAGAAAAGGUGGCCUCUACCUGUAAGCUAUCGCCUGAAGAGGGGUUUGCGUCUGAUUAGCUGGUUGGAGGGGUAACGGCCCACCAAGGCGACGAUCAGUAGCCCGUCUGAGAGGAUGAACGGCCACACUGGAACUGAGACACGGUCCAGACUCCUACGGGAGGCAGCAGUGGGGAAUCUUCCGCAAUGGGCGAAAGCCUGACGGAGCAACGCCGCGUGAGUGAUGACGGCCUUCGGGUUGUAAAACUCUGUGAUCCGGGACGAAAAGGCAGAGUGCGAAGAACAAACUGCAUUGACGGUACCGGAAAAGCAAGCCACGGCUAACUACGUG